Molecule: long non-coding RNA, 494 nt
Filed under: Homo sapiens (human)
Lineage: Eukaryota; Metazoa; Chordata; Mammalia; Primates; Hominidae
Description: non-protein coding lnc-GPT2-4:2
Source: RNAcentral
GCUUUAAAGAAGUUUCUUGGCCAGGUGCAGUGGCUCACAUCUCUAAUCCCAAGUAGCUGGGACUACAGGCACGCACUACCACAUCUGGCUAACUUUUUGUAUUUUAGUGGAGACAGGGUUUCACCUUGUUGGCCAGGAUGGUCUCGAUCUCCUGACCUCGUGAUCCGCCCACCUUGCCUCCCAAAGUGCUGGGAUUACAGGCAUGAGCCACCGCACCCAGCCUAAAAAACAUACAUAUUUUUUAAGUUUCUAGAAGCUUGGUCCCAUGACAUCUGUAUAAUCUCAUUGGCCAGAACUUGGUCACACAACCAUUCCUGCUGCUGUGGAGCCUUAUGAAGUUAAAAAUCAGGGUUUUAUUAUCAAGAAAGGAAGAGAGACCAGAUAUUGGUGGUCAGUUAGCAUCAUGUGCCAGGACCAGGUAGUGUUUAAUCUUAGAAAUGCAAGGAUGAUUUAAAAUGGGAACAUCCGUUAGUGUAACUCAUUACAUUAGCAAA